UACGUAGGUGGCAAGCGUUGUCCGGAUUUACUGGGUGUAAAGGGCGUGUAGCCGGGCUGACAAGUCAGAUGUGAAAUCCGGGGGCUCAACCCCCGAACUGCAUUUGAAACUGUUGGUCUUGAGUAUCGGAGAGGCAGGCGGGAUUCCUAGUGUAGCGGUGAAAUGCGUAGAUAUUAGGAGGAACACCAGUGGCGAAGGCGGCCUGCUGGACGACAACUGACGGUGAGGCGCGAAAGCGUGGGGAGCAAACAGG
This 253-nucleotide ribosomal RNA is filed under the name uncultured bacterium. RNAcentral's name for it is "partial 16S ribosomal RNA". It matches the Rfam family "Bacterial small subunit ribosomal RNA", at positions 524 to 776 of the family's 1533-position model. The record is from RNAcentral.